RNAcentral lists this ribosomal RNA (497 nucleotides) under uncultured bacterium. RNAcentral's name for it is "partial 16S ribosomal RNA". It matches the Rfam family "Bacterial small subunit ribosomal RNA", at positions 28 to 507 of the family's 1533-position model. The record is from RNAcentral.
GAUGAACGCUGGCGGCGUGCCUAAUACAUGCAAGUCGAGCGAACAGACGAGGAGCUUGCUCCUCUGACGUUAGCGGCGGACGGGUGAGUAACACGUGGAUAACCUACCUAUAAGACUGGGAUAACUUCGGGAAACCGGAGCUAAUACCGGAUAAUAUAUUGAACCGCAUGGUUCAAUAGUGAAAGACGGUUUUGCUGUCACUUAUAGAUGGAUCCGCGCCGCAUUAGCUAGUUGGUAAGGUAACGGCUUACCAAGGCAACGAUGCGUAGCCGACCUGAGAGGGUGAUCGGCCACACUGGAACUGAGACACGGUCCAGACUCCUACGGGAGGCAGCAGUAGGGAAUCUUCCGCAAUGGGCGAAAGCCUGACGGAGCAACGCCGCGUGAGUGAUGAAGGUCUUCGGAUCGUAAAACUCUGUUAGUAGGGAAGAACAAAUGUGUAAGUAACUAUGCACGUCUUGACGGUUCCUAAUCAGAAAGCCACGGCUAACUACGUG